AAAAAAUUAAAAUCAAAUAUCUAAGGUCAUAUAAACUCUUAACAAUAAGUUUGUGACAAAUUAAUAUAUGAAUGCAAACAUACAAGUAUAAAUAGAACGAACAUGUUGGUUCGGAUAAUUUUUGGUUCGUUACUAUGAACGAGAAGGUGACGUGUUUGGCUUAUAUAUAUUUCUAUUUAUUUUAACUCGUCAUUAUACAAAUAUGCACCAAUGGGUUUAAUCAGUUAUAAUUGUUUUAAACCAAUGACAUGCAUUCUCUUAAUUAUGUUGUUGGAAUAUUUUCUAAGGCAUGUCAUGAACUAUAAGUAUUAAACCCGCUUAUUAAGUCACACACAUUCGUAUACAUUUUAAGUAUAAAUGAUCAAUUAUGUUCACAGUCGUUUAAAUAGAAUAUUUGGAAUCUAGGCUCUUUUAUAUGAAUAGAGAACAUUCAAAAUGAUGGUAAAUGAUACAG
This 454-nucleotide long non-coding RNA is filed under the name Mytilus galloprovincialis (Mediterranean mussel). The record is from RNAcentral. Lineage: Eukaryota; Metazoa; Mollusca; Bivalvia; Mytilida; Mytilidae.